AUUGAACGCUGGCGGCAUGCCUUACACAUGCAAGUCGAACGGUAACAGGUCUUCGGAUGCUGACGAGUGGCGAACGGGUGAGUAAUACAUCGGAACGUGCCCGAUCGUGGGGGAUAACGGAGCGAAAGCUUUGCUAAUACCGCAUACGAUCUACGGAUGAAAGCAGGGGACCGCAAGGCCUUGCGCGGACGGAGCGGCCGAUGGCAGAUUAGGUAGUUGGUGGGAUAAAAGCUUACCAAGCCGACGAUCUGUAGCUGGUCUGAGAGGGCGACCAGCCACACUGGGACUGAGACACGGCCCAGACUCCUACGGGAGGCAGCAGCGGGGAAUUUUGGACAAUGGGCGAAAGCCUGAUCCAGCCAUGCCGCGUGCAGGAUGAAGGCCUUCGGGUUGUAAACUGCUUUUGUACGGAACGAAAAGACUCUUUCUAAUAAAGAGGGUCCAUGACGGUACCGUAAGAAUAAGCACCGGCUAACUACGUGCCAGCCGCCGCAGUAA
Molecule: ribosomal RNA, 498 nt
Filed under: uncultured bacterium
Lineage: Bacteria
Description: partial 16S ribosomal RNA
Rfam family: Bacterial small subunit ribosomal RNA
Source: RNAcentral